UGGGGAAUAUUGCACAAUGGGCGGAAGCCUGAUGCAGCAACGCCGCGUGAGUGAUGAAGGCCUUCGGGUUGUAAAGCUCUGUCUUUUGGGACGAUAAUGACGGUACCAAAGGAGGAAGCCACGGCUAACUACGUGCCAGUAGCCGCGGUAAUACGUAGGUGGCAAGCGUUGUCCGGAUUUACUGGGCGUAAAGGAUGCGUAGGCGGAUUUUUAAGUGAGAUGUGAAAUACCCGGGCUUAACUUGGGUGCUGCAUUUCAAACUGGGAAUCUAGAGUGCGGGAGAGGAGAAUGGAAUUCCUAGUGUAGCGGUGAAAUGCGUAGAGAUUAGGAAGAACACCAGUGGCGAAGGCGAUUCUCUGGACCGUAACUGACGCUGAGGCAUGAAAGCGUGGGUAGCAAACAGGAUUAGAUACCCUGGUAGUCCACGCCGUAAACGAUGAGUACUAGGUGUAGGAGGUAUCGACCCCUUCUGUGCCGCAGUUAACACAAUCAAGUACUCCGCCUGGGAAGUACGAUCGCAAGAUUAAACUCAAAGGAAUUGACGGGGUCAUAGCU
Molecule: ribosomal RNA, 555 nt
Filed under: uncultured bacterium
Lineage: Bacteria
Description: partial 16S ribosomal RNA
Rfam family: Bacterial small subunit ribosomal RNA
Source: RNAcentral